Molecule: ribosomal RNA, 312 nt
Filed under: Cycadophila debaonica
Lineage: Eukaryota; Metazoa; Arthropoda; Insecta; Coleoptera; Erotylidae
Description: partial 16S ribosomal RNA
Rfam family: Bacterial large subunit ribosomal RNA (bases 177-312)
Source: RNAcentral
GACCCUAUAGAGUUUUAUAUUUUAUAGAAUUUAUUUUUUUUAGAAUUUAUAAAUUGAAUUUUAUUAAAUAUUUGGUUGGGGUGAUUGAAAAAUUAAAAAAACUUUUUUUAUAUUAAGUCAUUUAUUUAUGAAUAUUUGAUCCAUUAUUAGUGAUUAUAAGACUAAAUUACCUUAGGGAUAACAGCGUAAUUUUUUUUGAGAGUUCAAAUCGAAAAAAAAGAUUGCGACCUCGAUGUUGGAUUAAAAUAAAUAUUUGGUGUAGAAGCUAAAUUAAUUGGGUCUGUUCGACCUUUAAAAUUUUACAUGAUCUGA